RNAcentral lists this ribosomal RNA (468 nucleotides) under uncultured bacterium. Its description in RNAcentral is "partial 16S ribosomal RNA". It matches the Rfam family "Bacterial small subunit ribosomal RNA", at positions 28 to 507 of the family's 1533-position model. The record is from RNAcentral.
GACGAACGCUGGCGGCGUGCUUAACACAUGCAAGUCGAACGGAAAGGCCCUGCUUUUGUGGGGUGCUCGAGUGGCGAACGGGUGAGUAACACGUGAGUAACCUGCCCUUGACUUUGGGAUAACUUCAGGAAACUGGGGCUAAUACCGGAUAGGAGCUCCUGCUGCAUGGUGGGGGUUGGAAAGUUUCGGCGGUUGGGGAUGGACUCGCGGCUUAUCAGCUUGUUGGAGGGGUAGUGGCUUACCAAGGCUUUGACGGGUAGCCGGCCUGAGAGGGUGACCGGCCACAUUGGGACUGAGAUACGGCCCAGACUCCUACGGGAGGCAGCAGUGGGGAAUAUUGCACAAUGGGCGGAAGCCUGAUGCAGCAACGCCGCGUGCGGGAUGACGGCCAUCGGGUUGUAAACCGCUUUCGCCUGUGACGAAGCUUGAGUGACGGUAAUGGGUAAAGAAGCACCGGCUAACUACGUG